UUAAAGGUGCUUGUUGCCUGUCAGUUUCUAGUCUCACUCGAAUUAAACUUUUCUGUUAGUGCUUCGUAAAAAUUAGUCCGGGAGUCAAAAAAGGAAAAAGAUUUAUCAACAAACGAGUCAACAGCAGCCAAGUCCCCUCGUAACUUUACACCUACCUGUGAAUAAGGCGUAUUCAGCGGGGACCUUGACUGCGUUGUUGUGGCCGAUCGUCUCCUCGUCCAUUUCCGCUGAGAAUUCUUCCUCGGAGGACUCACUGAGGUAAAUGAAAGAGAAAAACAUGUCAUCAAAAGGGGGGGAGGGUGAAGUCCCAAGCGGAGCUGACACAUCCUUGAGGAAAACCAGGCGCCGAAAAACGAUCCUCUGCACAGAAACGGAACAGUUGGGAGUGGACUACCAAGACCAUCACUACUAUCCUCAUUAGCUUAACCGCAUCCUGUCAGUGGUACAUCAUUGAAAUACAUUCAAUAAUAAUACAGAUAUCUGAUUUUUAUGAUGAUAUAAGGCCAAUAAUUAUUAGUAUUGGUAUUGCAUUUAAUGAGAAAGUCAUCAUUUUCUCAGAAUACAUUGAAAUAUUAAAAAAAACAUCAAAAAACAACAACAAAAAGUCGGAAUAUGAGAAAACUACGAAUAAAGUUAUAUUCAGAAAACAAGAUUAUUCAAGUUGUAUGUAAUGCUAUGAGAUUAAAGUCCAAAUAUUUAGAGAAAGUUCUCGUCUAAAGAGGAAAAAAGUCCCAAUUUUACGAGAAUAAACUUAUGAAAUGACAGAAAAUUUUAGUAGCAGAUCAGAAUACAUUGAAAUAUUAAAAAUAACAUCAAAAAACAACAACAAAAAGUCGGAAUAUGAGAAAACUAUGAAUAAAGUUGUCAUAUUCAGAAAACGAGGUUGUUGAAGUUAUAUGUAAUGCUAUGACAUUAAAGUCCAAAUAUUUAGAGAAAGUUCUAUUCUAAAGAGGAAAAAAGUCCCAAUUUUACGAGAAUAAACUUAUGAAAUGACAGAAAAUUUUAGUAACAAAGAGUUGAAAUAUUAAAAAAAAUAUAUUACAGUAUUUGUAUUCAACUUCUCUUUGCUCCCCCCUUCCAUUUUUAACAGUAAUAUUAUGACUUCCCUGUAAUAUUUAGAAUUUAUUCCCAUCAUUUUACAACUUCCCUCAAUUUUUCUUUGUUUUGUUUCUCAUAAUAUUACGAGUUUAUUCUCAUAAAAUGACAUCAGUAUUUUCAUUUCUGCUGUUUUUUUUAUUUCCUAUGUAUCUUUCUUCUUGUACAUUUUCUUCUCGUAAUU
Molecule: long non-coding RNA, 1279 nt
Organism: Doryrhamphus excisus (bluestripe pipefish)
Lineage: Eukaryota; Metazoa; Chordata; Actinopteri; Syngnathiformes; Syngnathidae
Source: RefSeq, a predicted model, not a curated record